Non-coding RNA from Peromyscus maniculatus bairdii (prairie deer mouse), 934 nucleotides. The record is from RefSeq and is a predicted model, not a curated record. NCBI's taxonomy places the organism in Eukaryota, Metazoa, Chordata, Mammalia, Rodentia, Cricetidae.
CUCGGGCGGUUCCAGGUUAGGGAUUCUGAGCUGGCUGCUGGCCUCCCAGCUCCCCGGCGGUAGAGUGGGCAUAAUGUUUAUGUGGCAUGUAUGCCUGGGCACAGCGGAAGAGUCCGGCACACACAGAGUUCUGGACGCCUGAGGAGAGAAGGCACAGUGGGAAGACGUGGGUCACCGAGGGCACAGCUUGGAGAGUUGUGCCUGGUGCCAAUCCCUCUUCGUGCUCUGGUUGCUGUCUGCCAUGAGUCGAAGAGCCUCUUCCUCUGGCGCACACCUCUGUCAUGGUCUGCUGAUCGUAUGGUACAAGCAAAUAUGCCCUGAAUGAACCCUGGGAAGGAGCAAGGUGAUACACUCCUCCCCUGAUGUGUGGCCGGAAGGUAAAGUGAGCCCUGUCUGGAGGAAUAAUUCUAACAGCAAGAUCUUCGAACUACAUCCAAGAAGUGUUCGUUCACAAUCCGGCAUUGAGGAAAUAAUUAUUAGCAGGAACUUACGAAAAGGAAAUAGGCCAAUUGAAAAAUCAAAGAGAGGACUAAAAGCAUUCUGCAUCUAAACUCACAGGCGAGCAUGUCAAACGCGGGCUGGAAACUAACUAUGAUCAAUAAGCUUGAGAAAAUAGAUUACAGAGAAGGCAGUUUCGGCACAUGACUGCAGUUUAUUAAGAGAUUAAAGCGGGUGACUUUACAUCUUAAAAUUCUAAGGUGGGAGCUGGAGACCCGGACGGCUCAGGGGCUCAAAGUCCUGAGUUUGGUUCCCGGCACCUGUGUCACGCAAUUCACAACCCCGAUAACUCUAGCUCCAGGAGACACACACACACACACACACACACACACACACACACACACACACACACACACGGUGUGUGUGUAUAAAGAUGAAAUUUAUUUAAAAACCAAACAGGUUUAAGAAUAGAUUCAACUCACUAAGCCUUUAAAGA